ACACACACACACACACAUAACAUGCACACUACACACACAUAACAUACACACUAUACACACACACACAAACACACACACACACAUAACAUACACACUAUACACACACACAUACAAUACACACUACACACACACACACACACACACACACACACACACAUAACACACACACACACACACACACACACACACACACACACACACACACAUAACAUACACACAUAACAUGCACACUACACACACACAUAACAUACACACUAUUACACACACAUAACAUACACACUACACACACACACACAUAACAUGCACACUACACACACACACAUAACAUACACACUAUACACACACAUAACAUACACACUAUACACAGAGAGAACACAGAAGUAGAGAGAAGAAGAGAGAGUACACAGCAGUAGAGAGAGACAGACAGACAGACAGGUAGAGAGAGAGAGAGAGAGAGAGAGAGACAGGUAGAGAGAGACAGGUAGAAAGAGACAGGUCGAGGGAGAGGGGUAGAGAGAUACAGGUAGAGAGAGACAGGGAGAGGGGUAGAGAGAGACAGGUAGAGGGAGAGGGGUAGAGAGAGAGGUAGAGGUAACAGAGCGAGAGACAGGUAGAGGGAGAGGUAAAAUAUGUAGAGAGGUAGAACUAACAUAUGUGAGGUAACAGAGAGAGACAGGCAGAGAGAGACAGGUAGAGAGAGAGGUAGAGGUAACAGAGAGAGGUAGAGGUAACAGAGAGAGGUGGGGGAGAGACAGGAGGAGAGGUAGAGGUAGAGGUAACAGAGAGAGGUAGAGAGGUAGAGGUAACAGAGAGAGGUGGGGGAGAGACAGGAGGAGAGGUAGAGGUAGAGGUAACAGAGAGAGGUGGGGGAGAGACAGGAGGAGAGGUAGAGGUAGAGGUAACAGAGAGCGGUAGAGAAGUAGAGGUAACAGAUAUGCGGUAACAGAGUCAGAUUGGAAUAGCAGGUGGCUCUGACCUACAAAUAAUCUGAGAGAAAUAAGAACAAUGAAAAGGAGGAAGAGAGGAGAAGAAAGUGA
Long non-coding RNA from Oncorhynchus tshawytscha (Chinook salmon), 1037 nucleotides. The record is from Ensembl. Lineage: Eukaryota; Metazoa; Chordata; Actinopteri; Salmoniformes; Salmonidae.